UUUUGCUUCAAAAAUUUUUUUUCCCAUUUUCUUCUUCUAAAACCUAGGUGUGUCUUAUGGUCUGGUGCGUCUUAUAGUCCUAAAAAUAUGAUAAGUCCUUGGAAGGCUGAGUUUUAUUACUGUCUAGUGCCUAAGAAUACUAUUACCUAUUCUUUAAAAAAUUUUUUUCAUUCCAAAUGAAUAUUUAUUGAUCCCGUAUUUUAAAUAAGCACUGAGAUGAAGUUGUUGCUUUCCCUGGACGUGUGGGCUCCACUGGUGCUCCAGUCCUGGGCUCUUCUGAAUGAUCACCAGUGACACUUGCUGUGGCCUUCUCAGUGGUCUCUUCCACAGAGCUGGGGAUGUUUGAUUCCAUGUCAGUAGACAAUUGCAAAGCCUGUGUAUGCUCCAAGUAAACGUCAGUGGUGACUGGCUGUAUACCACCACUGAGGUCUAGGUCAGAGGCUGACUUUGGGUCAGCAGUUGGCUUUAGUUCAGCCUGAAACUCUGCGUCACUGAAAAUGGCUGCGUCAUCGGUGAUAUGUGGCAGU
Phyllostomus discolor (pale spear-nosed bat) is the source of this 527-nucleotide long non-coding RNA. RefSeq lists it as uncharacterized. The record is from RefSeq and is a predicted model, not a curated record. NCBI's taxonomy places the organism in Eukaryota, Metazoa, Chordata, Mammalia, Chiroptera, Phyllostomidae. The transcript has 4 exons.